GACGAACGCUGGCGGCGUGCCUAAUACAUGCAAGUAGAACGCUGAAGAGAGGAGCUUGCUCUUCUUGGAUGAGUUGCGAACGGGUGAGUAACGCGUAGGUAACCUGCCUUGUAGCGGGGGAUAACUAUUAGAAACGAUAGCUAAUACCGCAUAACAAUGGAUGACCCAUGUCAUUUAUUUGAAAGGGGCAAUUGCUCCACUACAAGAUGGACCUGCGUUGUAUUAGCUAGUAGGUGAGGUAACGGCUCACCUAGGCGACGAUACAUAGCCGACCUGAGAGGGUGAUCGGCCACACUGGGACUGAGACACGGCCCAGACUCCUACGGGAGGCAGCAGUAGGGAAUCUUCGGCAAUGGGGGCAACCCUGACCGAGCAACGCCGCGUGAGUGAAGAAGGUUUUCGGAUCGUAAAGCUCUGUUGUAAGUCAAGAACGAGUGUGAGAGUGGAAAGUUCACACUGUGACGGUAGCUUACCAGAAAGGGACGGCUAACUACGUGCCAGCAGCCGCGGUAAUACGUAGGUCCCGAGCGUUGUCCGGAUUUAUUGGGCGUAAAGCGAGCGCAGGCGGUUUGAUAAGUCUGAAGUUAAAGGCUGUGGCUCAACCAUAGUUCGCUUUGGAAACUGUCAAACUUGAGUGCAGAAGGGGAGAGUGGAAUUCCAUGUGUAGCGGUGAAAUGCGUAGAUAUAUGGAGGAACACCGGUGGCGAAAGCGGCUCUCUGGUCUGUAACUGACGCUGAGGCUCGAAAGCGUGGGGAGCGAACAGGAUUAGAUACCCUGGUAGUCCACGCCGUAAACGAUGAGUGCUAGGUGUUGGAUCCUUUCCGGGAUUCAGUGCCGCAGCUAACGCAUUAAGCACUCCGCCUGGGGAGUACGACCGCAAGGUUGAAACUCAAAGGAAUUGACGGGGGCCCGCACAAGCGGUGGAGCAUGUGGUUUAAUUCGAAGCAACGCGAAGAACCUUACCAGGUCUUGACAUCCCGAUGCUAUUUCUAGAGAUAGAAAGUUACUUCGGUACAUCGGUGACAGGUGGUGCAUGGUUGUCGUCAGCUCGUGUCGUGAGAUGUUGGGUUAAGUCCCGCAACGAGCGCAACCCCUAUUGUUAGUUGCCAUCAUUCAGUUGGGCACUCUAGCGAGACUGCCGGUAAUAAACCGGAGGAAGGUGGGGAUGACGUCAAAUCAUCAUGCCCCUUAUGACCUGGGCUACACACGUGCUACAAUGGUUGGUACAACGAGUUGCGAGUCGGUGACGGCAAGCUAAUCUCUUAAAGCCAAUCUCAGUUCGGAUUGUAGGCUGCAACUCGCCUACAUGAAGUCGGAAUCGCUAGUAAUCGCGGAUCAGCACGCCGCGGUGAAUACGUUCCCGGGCCU
RNAcentral lists this ribosomal RNA (1369 nucleotides) under uncultured bacterium. Its description in RNAcentral is "bacterial SSU rRNA". It matches the Rfam family "Bacterial small subunit ribosomal RNA", at positions 28 to 1381 of the family's 1533-position model. The record is from RNAcentral.